CUAGAGUACGCACGCGCAACACUGGGGCAGGCCGCCCUCCCCCCGACCCCCCGAAUUAGUUGUUCCUCUACGGCCAACGCGUCCUGGGCCACAGACCCUCUGAAGAGCUCGUCCCACGUACAGCCCAUAGACAUACUUCACCACGGACGUCCGGCGGCGUCCUCCUCUCCGGCCGAGCACCGGAAACCUAGGUAACUGCUGCCAACAGGACCGCCCUCUCCUGCCGCAGCCAAUCAACAGCAAACGCGGGCGCGGAGCUUGCUGGGAAAAAAGAAGUCAAGGCGGCUUUGGAGGCGGGAGUGGGAAAAACUACGAGCCCCUUCAUGCCUCGCGGCGCCGCACAACUCCCGAGAUGCAACCGAAAAGCAUAGGAGCCAAAUACCCUGAGGGUCCGAAAUUAUGUCAUUGGUCGAGAGAUUUUUGUCAGCCUCUUUUCUGGUACUGAAGCUAUGAUUGGCCUUAAACUUUGGCAUUCUGGUCUUUUUUUUUUCUUUUUUUUUCAUACACUCAUUAGUCCUUUAUAAACAUGUAUGACUUUCUAUGAUCUCUGAGAACUCGGAAGAGGGAUAGAAAGGUAAACUAAUUUGUUAUGUGCCUGGCAUUUUUUUCCCCUCUAUUACAAUAGAAGGUUUAUAAUAAUUCAAACGUUUUUUCCUCGUAUCCAGUAGCUUGAUUCUCAUAAUUACUCGGAUUAAGUACAAAAUACUCAGUGAUCUGUGAAAUAUACGAUAGUACAGAAAAGCCUAGUUAAAAUAAAACAAACUACUAUUUGUUUGUUAGAGACAACAUCUCGUUAUAUGUGGCUUUGGCAGGCCUGGAACUCCCUAUGUAGAUUAAAUUGGCUUUGAACUCAAGAGUUUUGUCUGUCUUUGCCUCCCCAUGGCUUGGACUAAUGGCAAAGGCCACCAGGUAAAGGGUAAAUAGUUUAAGGCUCCAUCAAUAUUGUGUGGUUAUAGCAGAUUCAAAGCUGGAAGCCUGACACCAGCACCCAUCCUUUAAAAAUAUUUCUUUGCCCCCUGAGUCAGGGUUUCUUUGUGUAGCCUAGUGUGUCCUAGAACGUAAUCUUUGACUAUGCUGGCUUCUAACUCAGAGCUGCCUACCAAAACCGGUUGGAACCAUUCUCCGACACCACAGCUGUUCUCUGAGGCAAUUUAUGCCCCGCCUUCUAACCCCACCAGCUUGGCAAUUACUCCCUCAGAAAGGGAUUGAAGCCAGGGAGUUUGGCUUUAGGCAGGUUGGUAAACUCCCACCCUACCACCCCUGCCCCACUUUCUGCAAAGUAUCAAGUGUUACUGCUUUAAAAUGUUAGAUUUUUCUCGUCUUUGUUCUUCAUUAUGAUUUGCAGUGCCAGUGUAGGCUCAGAACAUUAAAAAAAACCCCACAAUUGUGAUUUCAAUUCUUUUGUUGUGUGGAGUUUGUUUUGUUUGAUAAGGUCUUGCUUUAUAGAGCUGGCUGGCGUGUAACUCUCUAUGUAGAUCAGGCUGUCCUAGAAACUCACGUGUUGAAAUUACUGUUGGCUAAAUGCUGCAGCCUCAAGAGGCUAGAGUCAGGCUGUGGGGUAGAGCAUGUUGCAAAUUGUGCUAAUUGGACUUUGUUUUAGGGUUCUUAAAUGAUGUCUAUUUUUCUGUAAUAGGUCUGCCAAACAGACUCAGAGUAGAGUUCUGUCUGUUCACAUGUAACUUUGAGAGACAAUAAACUCAGUGACAGAGUACUUACCCGGAGUGAUCAAAGCUGAAAAGAGAAAGCGUUGGCACUUGACCAGUUUACUGAGGGAACCGAAUCUCAGAAAGGUUUGCGUUAAAGGUACCUGGAAACCACUGCCCUGAUUGCUUCUCAGUAAACACUUGGAAAUCUCUGAAGAGGUAGCAUCUACAUCAGGUCUUUACCAAAUUCCAUACAAAGAGGAAAGCGAUUCUGGAGCAGUGGUUCUAAACCUUCCCAGUGCUGCAGCCCUUUAAUACAGUUCCUCGUGUUGGGGUGACCUCCAACCAUAGAAUUAUUUCUCUUGCUACUUUAUAAUUUUGCUACUGUUUUGAAUCAUACAUGUCUGUUUUCUGAUGGUCUUAGGCAAUACUUAUGAACACCCAGGUUACAAAAAAACAGGUUGCAUCAGGGCAAGACUGUAAUCCCAGCACUGAACAGAGUACAGAAGAGUUCUGUCUCUAACAGGCUCACUGCCUCUGGCCUCCAAAUGCCUGUACAUGCAUGUUGGCAGUUAGGUCGCCCAGCUCCUUUAAACUCCUAGAUUGGAGCAGUUCUGCCUCGACCCUGGCUGGAGAAACAGACACACCCUACUCCAGCAUCUCUGUCAUUCCCACUGCUAGGUACAAACUCAUACCUUCCUCCCUCCACCCCCUUUAUGGCAGGGUCUAUACAGCUCUGACUGUCUGGGAACUAUGUAGACCAGGCAGACCUUGAACUCUGAGAGAUCUGCCUGCCUCUGCCUAGUGUGUGCUGGGAUUAAAACCCCACCAACUGCUUGGCAGCUCCCACCUCCUCCACCCCCGCCUUGAUUUAGGAAUAUUAUGUAGCCAAAGCUGGUCUUAAACUCACUAGGAGGCGUUUUUGGUUUUUUUGGGCAGCCAAUAAUCUUGAGCUCCUGACAUUCGUGGCUCUGCCUCCCCCAGCAAGUGCUGGGGUCCUAGGCAUGUCUUACCAUGCUGGCCAAAACUCAGUCUCGUAGAGCCAAAGCUUACUUUUUGACAGCAGCACUGAUACUGGCUUCCACAUUGUGUAGAUUGUGACUGCAUUCUUCUUUACGGGAGUGGUGGAUUUCAAAGUCACACAGCAAAAGUUGACGUGAGAAUGAAUGAAUGCCAGGGACUGGGUGUGAUCCUGUACUUUAUGAUCGGGAAACCUUAAAGUUUACUACAUAUAAAGAAAUGACUAACCCCCAACAGCUGAUGCAGCUGUCAUUCUACAGACAUGCUAAUGGGUUAACCACUUUGUUUUUCAGAUAGGGUUUCAUAUAGACAGGCUGACCCUGAAUUUCUGGACCCCCUCCCUCUACAAGCAGUGUCUGGCUUAUGUGAUACACAGGGUUGGAUCCAGGGCUUCAGGCAUGCUAAUCAAGUACUCUACCAUCUAGAGCCUAGGUCUCAUGUGCACUUCCCAGUCCAGGGUCACUCCAAACCAAAGAAGACAAUUUAGAACUUUGCAACAGGUUUUUAUUUUUGCUUUGUAUCUAUUACAGUGUUUGAAACCUAAAGAAAUACAUUUUCUCUUC
RNAcentral lists this long non-coding RNA (3226 nucleotides) under Mus musculus (house mouse). RNAcentral's name for it is "long non-coding RNA chr4:129640834-129644060". The record is from RNAcentral. Lineage: Eukaryota; Metazoa; Chordata; Mammalia; Rodentia; Muridae.